Molecule: RNA transcript, 544 nt
Organism: Otolemur garnettii (small-eared galago)
Lineage: Eukaryota; Metazoa; Chordata; Mammalia; Primates; Galagidae
Gene name: NADH dehydrogenase [ubiquinone] iron-sulfur protein 4, mitochondrial-like
Exons: 1
Source: RefSeq, a predicted model, not a curated record
UGUUUGCCUGCAGCAAGAUGGCGGCGGUCUCAAUGUCAGGGGUGCUGAACCAGGCGGUGUGGUGGAGAAGGGCAGUAGGUGUAGCUGCUAUUUCCGUUUCCAGGGUCCCGACCAGGUCGUUGAGCACUUCCACAUGGAGGCUAGCACAGGACCAAAUUCAAAACACACAGCUCAUAACAGUUGAUGAAAAAUCGGAUAUCACUACUUUAACUGGCGUUCCAGAAGAACAUAUCAAAACUAGAAAAGUCACGAUCUUUGUUCCUGCUUAAAAUAACAUGCAGUCUGGAGUAAACAACACAAAAAAAUGGAAGAUGGAGUUUGAUACCAGGGAGCGAUGGGAAAAUCCUUUGAUGGGCUGGGCAUCAAUGGCUGAUUCUUUGUCCAACAUGGUUCUAACCUUCAGUACGAAAGAAGGUGCAGUUUACUUUGUGGAAAAAAAUGGAUGGAGCUAUGACAUUGAAGAAAAGAAGGUUCUGAAACCAAGUCCAAGUCUGAUGGUGCACACUUUUCUUGGAACAUAAGAACAAGAGUAUCCACUGAAUAG